This is a long non-coding RNA of Cyphomyrmex costatus, 427 nucleotides long. RefSeq lists it as uncharacterized. Lineage: Eukaryota; Metazoa; Arthropoda; Insecta; Hymenoptera; Formicidae. The record is from RefSeq and is a predicted model, not a curated record. The transcript has 3 exons.
UCAAUCGCAUUGUGCGUAGAUGUAAUUUUGUUCUGUAAAAGCUACAUUUGCGCAUAAUGCGAUUGAUCAAUCGAUGAAUUGAAAAACUCGCCUAUAGUGAUAGUGUACACUACAAAAACAAGGGAAUAAAGUUUAUAAUUUGAGGUUUGAAAUGGAAACUAUGAUGUAGGAAGAUUGUACUGAGGAUGUGGAGUCAUCUACAGAUUUAUGCGACAUGGUACAAAAAAAAAGACAACAAAGAGGUUCAUAACUCAAGAAAAUCAACGAUGCCGCUAUCAUUGUUAUGGAACCUGAGACUGCAUUGAUAAUGACUCCAAAAACUGAGUUGUGGUAUCUCUAGCUCUAAUCAUUAAACAGAAUAUAACUGCAAAUAUUGUCAAGCUCUUACCAAAACAAAAAAACACAAAUAGUCAAACAACUAUAUAAA